AUGAGAGUUUGUAACACCCAAAGUCGGUGGGGUAACCUUUUAGGAACCAGCCGCCUAAGGUGGGACAGAUGAUUAGGGUGAAGUCGUAACAAGGUAGCCGUAGGAGAACCUGCGGCUGGAUCACCUCCUUUCUAAGGAAUAUUACGGAAACCUACACACGCGUCGAAACUUUGUUUAGUUUUGAGAGAUUUAACUCUCAAAACUUGUUCUUUGAAAACUAGAUAAUAUCAAAUAUAUUUUUUCAUAAUGAAACCGAGAACACCGCGUUUUUUGAGUUUUUUAUUGAAGUUUAAUUAUCGCUAAACUCAUUAAUCGCAUUUACCGUUAGGUAAAUGAGGUUAAGUUAACAAGGGCGCAUGGUGAAUGCCUUGGCACUAGGAGCCGAUGAAGGACGGGACUAACACCGAUAUGCUUCGGGGAGCUGUACGUAAGCUAUGAUCCGGAAAUUUCCGAAUGGGGCAACCCAGCAGUUUUAAUCAACUGUUACCACUAGAUGAAUUCAUAGUCUAGUUGGAGGUAAACGCUGUGAACUGAAACAUCUCAUUAGCAGCAGGAAUAUAAAGAAAUUUCGAUUCCCUAAGUAGCGGCGAGCGAACGGGGAACAGCCCAAACCAAAGUGCUUGCACUUUGGGGUUGUAGGACUGAACAUUUGAGUUACCAAAGAACUUGAUAGUCGAAGGAUUUGGGAAAAUCCGCCAUAGAUGGUGAUAGCCCAGUAGAUUAAAUCAAAUUCUCUCAGUUCAGGAUCCUGAGUACGGCGGAACACGUGAAAUUCCGUCGGAAUCCGGGAGGACCAUCUCCCAAGGCUAAAUACUACCUAGUGACCGAUAGUGAACCAGUACCGGAAGGAAAAGGGCAAAA
RNAcentral lists this unclassified non-coding RNA (861 nucleotides) under Lactiplantibacillus plantarum. Its description in RNAcentral is "Lactobacillus plantarum partial contains 16S ribosomal RNA, 16S-23S ribosomal RNA intergenic spacer, and 23S ribosomal RNA". The stretch from base 337 to 861 matches the Rfam family "Bacterial large subunit ribosomal RNA", at positions 1 to 520 of the family's 2925-position model. The record is from RNAcentral. Lineage: Bacteria; Bacillati; Bacillota; Bacilli; Lactobacillales; Lactobacillaceae.